UUAGUUUGACUGGGGCGGUCGCCUCCCAAAAGGUAACGGAGGCGCUCAAAGGUUCCCUCAGAAUGGUUGGAAAUCAUUCAUAGAGUGUAAAGGUAUAAGGGAGCUUGACUGCGAGACCUACAAGUCGAGCAGGGUCGAAAGACGGACUUAGUGAUCCGGUGGUUCCGCAUGGAAGGGCCAUCGCUCAACGGAUAAAAGCUACCCCGGGGAUAACAGGCUUAUCUCCCCCAAGAGUUCACAUCGACGGGGAGGUUUGGCACCUCGAUGUCGGCUCAUCGCAUCCUGGGGCUGUAGUCGGUCCCAAGGGUUGGGCUGUUCGCCCAUUAAAGCGGUACGCGAGCUGGGUUCAGAACGUCGUGAGACAGUUCGGUCCCUAUCCGUCGUGGGCGUAGGAAAUUUGAGAGGAGCUGUCCUUAGUA
Molecule: ribosomal RNA, 419 nt
Filed under: Staphylococcus pettenkoferi
Lineage: Bacteria; Bacillati; Bacillota; Bacilli; Caryophanales; Staphylococcaceae
Description: bacterial LSU rRNA
Rfam family: Bacterial large subunit ribosomal RNA
Source: RNAcentral